GAGUUUGAUCCUGGCUCAGAUUGAACGCUGGCGGCAUGCCUUACACAUGCAAGUCGAACGGCAGCACGGGAGCUUGCUCCUGGUGGCGAGUGGCGAACGGGUGAGUAAUGCAUCGGAACGUAUCCUGGAGUGGGGGAUAACGUAGCGAAAGUUACGCUAAUACCGCAUAUUCUGUGAGCAGGAAAGCGGGGGACCUUCGGGCCCCGCGCUCUUGGAGCGGCCGAUGUCGGAUUAGCUAGUUGGUGAGGUAAAGGCUCACCAAGGCGACGAUCCGUAGCAGGUCUGAGAGGAUGAUCUGCCACACUGGAACUGAGACACGGUCCAGACUCCUACGGGAGGCAGCAGUGGGGAAUUUUGGACAAUGGGGGCAACCCUGAUCCAGCCAUGCCGCGUGAGUGAAGAAGGCCUCGG
Molecule: ribosomal RNA, 411 nt
Filed under: bacterium enrichment culture clone ALO1_GLFRUDD03GZNFC
Lineage: Bacteria
Description: bacterial SSU rRNA
Rfam family: Bacterial small subunit ribosomal RNA
Source: RNAcentral